Molecule: long non-coding RNA, 1620 nt
Organism: Fukomys damarensis (Damara mole-rat)
Lineage: Eukaryota; Metazoa; Chordata; Mammalia; Rodentia; Bathyergidae
Source: Ensembl
GCGGACCAGGGCCCCCAGGAGCCCCACACCCCAGGGGCAGCGCCGCCGUCCUCGGGGCCGCCCUCUGCCUCCAUCCGCUGCGGGACCUGCGGAGACAGAGGACCGUUAGGGAAGCAGGACCCAGACGGAGGGCAGAGCGGGCAGGCACAGGGGCUGUGCUAGGACCAGAAGUAGCCAGGCGUGGGGGAGCACUUCUGACAUCCCAGCACUCAGGAGGCUGCGGCAGGAAGAUCGCUUUCAGGCCAGUCUGGGCUAUAUAGAGUACAAGACUAGCCUCAGCUACAUAACGAGAUCCUGUCUCAAAAAAUAAAAAGUAGGGCCGGGGAUUUAGCUCAGUGGUUUUACCUCUGCCUGCCUUCCAAGUGCAAGGUCCCAAGUUGGAUCCCCAGUACCAAAACAUAAUAAAUAAAAUGAAAACAGCAAGGUGACCUAAAGUGACUAUCAGGCAGGGUUAUAGUCGUCUUUACACCAUCUUGGUUAUAAAAUAGAAUUUUCAUCAUUCUCUGCCUAUAUAGAUAACAUAUGAAGGGGCCCACAAAGCCGGAAGAGCCCAGGACCCAGAAAAGUCCCAAAGUAGCCCUGACUUUGGUACUGUGCCACUGAAGACCCGAGUCCCACUUAUCCUCCAGCUCAGGUCGGACAGCUGGAGUUCUCGCGCUGCAGGGAAGAGACCCACAGCCCUGUGCUGUGGUCCCCUCUGGCGACAUCAUGUGACCUGGCCCAGGCACUUCACAGCAGGGUCUACGUCCAGAUGUCCCCUGCUCCGAAUCCCUGCACAUCUGGCUCCUUUGCUGUUGUCCCAGAAGACAGCUGUUCCUGAGCCUGUCCUCCGAUGUUCACACUCCCCAGGGACCCUGAGCAGCUCUGUGACUUUCCUUGCAGUGCGUGUUUUUCCACCAAACCAUGAACUUCUAACUACAGUGCAAAAAUGUCCCUAGAUCAUCUCUGCUUUUACUUUUUAAGCACUGGCUUUGGGCAGCACUGUUUGGCCCCAGAGGUCCUUGAUGUCACCUUCCUUCGAGGACAGUCUGUCUAGUGCAGAGUGACCCUUUAUUGCUUCAGCUGGGUUCUGGAAGGUUCCGCAAAUGAUCAGCACAGGAAGGUGAGCGAGCCCGGGAAACCCAAGAAGCAAACAAGCAUCCACCGAAGGAAUGGGACCCCCCCGCCAAGAUAAUUCGGUGGCAGUCUACAGCCACUCUCAGACAGCCAGUCUGUGGGAGCUACAUUUGGAGAGAGGCUAAGCAACAUCACCAGUGAUAUGGGGGGAGCCAGCUAGAGAUAGGGUCAGAGCAAGUACAAGACAGACACAGGUAUAUUCUGGGUGACUGCUGAUCACAACCCCAAGGCUGCCAUUCUGACCUCAAGCAGGCAUGAGAACUUCCACUGUAGAUCCCUGUUAUGGUGGGCAUCUGGGAAAGAGGUGUAUCACCUGCUUCUAAAAGCAAGACAAAACCAGGCAUGGCGGUAUGCACCUAUAAUCCCAGGACUUGGGAGGCUGAGGCAGGAGGGUCGCUGCCGAUUCGAGGCCAACUUCAGCUAUAUAGUGAGUUCAAGGUCAGCCUGGACUGCACAGCAAGACCCAGUCUCAAAUAAAAAAAAUAAAUAAAUAAAACAAGCACA